UCCCCCAUGGCGCAAUUGGCUAGCGCGUUCGACUGUUACUCAUUCGUGAGGAAUGGCAUCGGGAGGUUGAUAGUUCGAGCCUAUCUGGGGGAG
Molecule: transfer RNA, 93 nt
Rfam family: tRNA
About the family: Transfer RNA (tRNA) molecules are approximately 80 nucleotides in length. Their secondary structure includes four short double-helical elements and three loops (D, anti-codon, and T loops).
Source: Rfam